RNAcentral lists this ribosomal RNA (301 nucleotides) under uncultured bacterium. RNAcentral's name for it is "partial 16S ribosomal RNA". It matches the Rfam family "Bacterial small subunit ribosomal RNA", at positions 509 to 810 of the family's 1533-position model. The record is from RNAcentral.
CAGUCGCCGCGGUAAUACGUAGGUGGCAAGCGUUGUCCGGAAUUAUUGGGCGUAAAGCGCGCGCAGGCGGCCUAUCCAGUCUGUCUUAAAAGUUCGGGGCUCAACCCCGUGAUGGGAUGGAAACUAGUAGGCUAGAGUAUCGGAGAGGAAAGCGGAAUUCCUAGUGUAGCGGUGAAAUGCGUAGAUAUUAGGAAGAACACCAGUGGCGAAGGCGGCUUUCUGGACUGCAACUGACGCUGAGGCUCGAAAGCCAGGGGAGCGAACGGGAUUAGAGACCCCCUAGUCCCUGUCUCUUUACACC